AACUUCUUCUGAAGUUGACCUCGAAUCAGGUAGGAAUACCCGCUGAACUUAAGCAUAUCAAUAAGCGGAGGAAAAGAAACCAACAGGGAUUGCCCCAGUAACGGCGAGUGAAGCGGCAACAGCUCAAAUUUGAAAUCUGGCUCUCGGGCCCGAGUUGUAAUUUGUAGAGGAUGCUUUUGGUGAGGUGCCUUCCGAGUUCCCUGGAACGGGACGCCAUAGAGGGUGAGAGCCCCGUCUGGUUGGACGCCGAACCUCUGUAAAGCUCCUUCGACGAGUCGAGUAGUUUGGGAAUGCUGCUCUAAAUGGGAGGUAUAUGUCUUCUAAAGCUAAAUACCGGCCAGAGACCGAUAGCGCACAAGUAGAGUGAUCGAAAGAUGAAAAGAACUUUGAAAAGAGAGUUAAACAGUACGUGAAAUUGUUGAAAGGGAAGCGCUUGUGACCAGACUUGGGCUUGGUUGAUCAUCCGGGGUUCUCCCCGGUGCACUCUUCCGGCCUAGGCCAGCAUCAGUUCGCCCUGGGGGAUAAAGGCUUCGGGAACGUGGCUCUCUCCGGGGAGUGUUAUAGCCCGCUGCGUAAUACCCUGUGGCGGACUGAGGUUCGCGC
Molecule: ribosomal RNA, 603 nt
Filed under: Fusarium sp. FSSC_12f
Lineage: Eukaryota; Fungi; Ascomycota; Sordariomycetes; Hypocreales; Nectriaceae
Also listed under: 1 other name
Description: eukaryotic LSU rRNA
Rfam family: Eukaryotic large subunit ribosomal RNA
Source: RNAcentral